GACGAACGCUGGCGGCGUGCUUAACACAUGCAAGUCGAACGGUUAAGCCGAGCUUGCGUGGGGUGUCAGUGGCGAACGGGUGAGUAACACAUGAGUAAACUGCCCCUUUCACUGGGAUAUGCGUUGGAAACAAUGGGUAAUACCGCAGACGGGAGGACUUCCCGUGGGGAGGGGGUUGAAAGGUUUUGUGGGGAGGGAUGGGCCCGCGGCCUAUUAGCUUGUUGGUGGGGUAAGUGCCUACCAAGGCAAUGAAGGGUAGCCGGCCUGAGAGGGUGACCGGCCAGAUUGGGACUGAGAUACGGCCCAGACUCCUACGGGAGGCAGCAGUGGGGAAUGUUGCACAAUGGGCGGAAGCCUGAUGCAGCAACGCCGCGUGCGGGAUGACGGCCUUCGGGUUGUAAACCGCUUUCGCCAGGGACGAAGCGUGAGUGACGGUAAUGGGUAAAGAAGCACCGGCUAACUACGUG
RNAcentral lists this ribosomal RNA (467 nucleotides) under uncultured bacterium. RNAcentral describes it as "partial 16S ribosomal RNA". It matches the Rfam family "Bacterial small subunit ribosomal RNA", at positions 28 to 507 of the family's 1533-position model. The record is from RNAcentral.